CGCGCAGGUGGUUUCUUAAGUCUGAUGUGAAAGCCCACGGCUCAACCGUGGGAGGGUCAUUGGAAACUGGGAGACUUGAGUGCAGAAGAGGAAAGUGGAAUUCCAUGUGUAGCGGUGAAAUGCGUAGAGAUAUGGAGGAACACCAGUGGCGAAGGCGACUUUCUGGUCUGUAACUGACACUGAGGCGCGAAAGCGUGGGGAGCAAACAGGAUUAGAUACCCUGGUAGUCCACGCCGUAAACGAUGAGUGCUAAGUGUUAGAGGGUUUCCGCCCUUUAGUGCUGAAGUUAACGCAUUAAGCACUCCGCCUGGGGAGUACGGCCGCAAGGCUGAAACUCAAAUAAAUUGACGG
RNAcentral lists this ribosomal RNA (351 nucleotides) under uncultured Bacillus sp. RNAcentral's name for it is "bacterial SSU rRNA". It matches the Rfam family "Bacterial small subunit ribosomal RNA", at positions 568 to 916 of the family's 1533-position model. Lineage: Bacteria; Bacillati; Bacillota; Bacilli; Caryophanales; Bacillaceae. The record is from RNAcentral.